This 448-nucleotide long non-coding RNA is filed under the name Salmo salar (Atlantic salmon). Its description in RNAcentral is "lncRNA (ENSSSAG00000106821.1, ENSSSAG00020076113.1, ENSSSAG00075059359.1)". Lineage: Eukaryota; Metazoa; Chordata; Actinopteri; Salmoniformes; Salmonidae. The record is from RNAcentral.
AUUUCAAUUUGACUGUUUGUUAGGAGGCCUAAGAGGCAGAUGUCAGCAGCAGAACAAACUCCAAUCACAGACAUCACUCGGAGUGACGGAAAAGUACCACGGUUGACCGACAGACCGAGCGCUGCUUCUCUCUGUCUGCACCCCUCAGGAGCACAUUGGGAUUGAGAGAUCAUCAAUCUUCACUCUCAUUUAUCUUCCCUCUCAGAGCCCAGCGGACAGGGAGCUUUGUCUUUCUAUGAAAGAAGCAUUCCUUUACUUGUCACUACAAUCACCUUCAUCUUCCAUAUGCUGUAAAUUGGAUUGUACAACAUGAGUAAGUUAGUCAACACCAUUGUAAAGUGUCAACAUGCAUCUCAGUGCAUCUUAGUGUGAAUAGCAUGUUCUGGCUUCAGUUUAGAUCAACAUCUGAGCAUGUUUAAUUAGGAUGAAGCAGAAUACGAACACUUAU